UACGGAGGGUGCGAGCGUUGUCCGGAAUCAUUGGGCGUAAAGGGCGCGUAGGCGGCUCAUGAAGGCUGUGGUGAAAGUCCGGGGCUCAACCUCGGAUCGGCCGUGGCGACUCGUGGGCUGGAGCACUGUAGAGGCGGGUGGAAUUCCGGGUGUAGCGGUGGAAUGCGUAGAGAUCCGGAAGAACACCAGUGGCGAAGGCGGCCCGCUGGGCAGUGGCUGACGCUGAGGCGCGACAGCGUGGGGAGCAAACAGG
Molecule: ribosomal RNA, 253 nt
Filed under: uncultured bacterium
Lineage: Bacteria
Description: partial 16S ribosomal RNA
Rfam family: Bacterial small subunit ribosomal RNA
Source: RNAcentral